GUUAAUUUGGCAGAAUAGUGUAAUAGAUUUAGAAUCUUUUAAAGUAAGAAAUUUACAAUUAACA
This 64-nucleotide transfer RNA is filed under the name Metoecus cf. javanus JL-2021a. RNAcentral's name for it is "tRNA-Leu". Lineage: Eukaryota; Metazoa; Arthropoda; Insecta; Coleoptera; Ripiphoridae. The record is from RNAcentral.